This 7187-nucleotide long non-coding RNA is filed under the name Musa acuminata (dwarf banana). Its description in RNAcentral is "long non-coding RNA (MACU_LNC007770)". Lineage: Eukaryota; Viridiplantae; Streptophyta; Magnoliopsida; Zingiberales; Musaceae. The record is from RNAcentral.
GACUGAUCAAGGAACAACAAACAGAACAUGCCAUGCUAUGAAGGAGAUCGCUUCUAUGAUCGAUGUAUGACCAGAAAAACUCAUGCAAAUGCACUUUGACCCUGCCUAUGGGAGUUCCUAAACUGGAGUUCCGAAACGGGCAUUCUAUGAACGGGUAUCCAGCUGUAAAAGUUUCCUCGUCUAGUAUCUAGUCUCAUACCUCUUGUGAUGGUGCUACAUCCCGCAUUGACUUUCCUUUUACCUCUACUUAGCCUUAGGGAAGGAUCUCUUUUGUGUUCACAUCCUAGUUUUCCCACAUACGUUUUGCAAAGUUUUCCUAAUAGCAUUCGACGAAAGGGCAACUCUUGCGGGUAUUUGGAGGGUAUUCUAUGGAAAAAGCAUAAUAAGCCAACGGGGUCUUAGGACAAAAGACAUCGGUGACUGAGAUACCUACAUUGAUGAAUCGAACCUAUAGCAAUGCCGCUCCCCUUGCCAAUCUGCUCUUUGCUAGUCCGCUAACCAAGAAUCAAAGGCUUUUAGCAUCCCUUAUGAGAUUGGUUUGACCUCCCGCUAGAUCGAUAGAAAAGAAUAAUUGGACUUGGCUGAGCUGGGGAAAUGAAGGGGAAUAUCUUAUCACUGGCUGAGCUGAGGAAAUGAAGGGGAAUAUCUUAUCACUCCAACGGAAACGAAAUCUCUAGAGAAAGCAUAAGGAAUUAGAUUCGCAAUAGCAGCGGCUAUCCCACCAACUUAUAAGAAAAGGGUGUAAACAGGACCUUAGUUGAUAGUGGAAUUCUUCUGGGAUUGUUUAUAGUUCAAUUAUGACUGUAAGAGUGGAAUUCUUCUGGGAUUGUUUAUAGUUCAAUUAUGACUUUAGUAAGCUAUGUUGGUUGGUGUUAAAGCCCUUAGUUAGGAGAUUGGAAGUAGUAAAGCAGUGCUUGUGGGGUUAGACUUGCCCUCUGCUCUGAGAUGGCGAUAAUUGUGGAGUUUAGUAAAGGCAUGUGGCGAUAAUUGUGGAGUUUAGUAAAGGCAUGGCUUAAGCUAACUCGAUUCGGUCUCGGUAUUUGAAUUAGGUAAAAGAAAGAGGAAUAGGAUCUCUAAAAGAAAGAGGAAGAGGAUCUCAUCGUUAAUAUGUAUCGGUAAAGCUUCUCGACCCCUACAAUGGAUGUCAUCGCUAACAAGCUAUCUGGAUACCUAAAUAUGUAAACCAAUCAGAACCAUACCCACGAGAGUACAGUUCAAUGAUUUGAAUCACUUUAGGGUCGCUAGUGUCCUUUGUCUUCUUUCAAAGAGCAGAUACGAGUACUCAAGCAGCGGCUUGCAAGACUAACAGGGGCAAGAGCCAGUGAUGGCCUAUUUUCCUUUAUCUCUACGCCGAACUGAAGCCUAGUAGGACUUAACUACCUUGAUCUGAAUCUCAGGAACUCAAAUAAUACCAAGGCAAGUCCACUCUCAAUUAAGCAUAAGCUUGGGAUCUUUCUUUCUUUUAAGAAAGCAUUUCCCUUGAAGCCAGGUCUUUCUUCUCUUUUCGGAGCUGGACUUAUUCUUCCUGGUCUUUCUUCUCUUUUCGGAGCUGGACUUAUUCUUCCUGACUGACUCGAUUCACAGUUUCUUCACACUAAGCCGGAGCCAACCCAGGGUGAGAGAGAUAGUAGAGUAGGGACGGGGAAGCAAUGUCACCAAUGGAACUAGCUAUCUGGGAUCUGUUAAUAAAAAGAUAGAGAUGCUCUUCUAGCGGUCCAAGAGCUUCUUCCUUCCUUGAGCUGGCAAUGACUUUAUUCUACCCUGAAAUCGUAGUCAGCCGGUAUAAAGACAUUCAUAUAUUCCCCAGGCACGGGAUAAAGGGAAAGAUAGAGCCGAGAGCCGGGAACGCAAGAAACUUCAUUUCUCUCGAGCGGGAAUCUUCUGAUUUAUAAUACUACCGAGACUACCAAAGCAAAUGCGACUUCUUUCCCCUCUGCUGCAACUGAAAGAUCAAAGACCGAUGACCUUAUUUCCUUCACUCAAUAACAGAACUAAAGGAAUGGAAAGAAAGAUGAACAAACGAAACAACGAAUUUCUCCGGUUUGCCAAUAAUUGCAUUUGAUAAUUGCUCAUAGGUUCAAUUGCCGGGCAAGGUAAAGUGAUGUUUAUUCAUAAGAAUUCUUAGACUCUUGGGGCAAUUUCCGUUCGUAGUUUCCUAGAAGCAAAAUUCUAUAAAGUGACCGGCUCUCGGUUAUCAACAUUUGGAACUACAGGGUUAGCCGGGUUAUCCACAUUCGUCAGGGGUUUACUAAUUGAUCGUUCGGUUAGUUGGUCGGAGAUCCCUUUUCACAAUGUUUGAAUUGUCUCGAGAAGAAUGAGUUGGUUAUCCAGUUCCGGCUUGCGGAUUGAGCUACGUUUGUUUCUUUUAUGAAGCGAGCAGGGAAGCGAAAGGUUUAGAGGAAGCAGCGAGCAGGGAAGCGAAAGGUUUAGAGGAAGCAAAGGGCGGGUGUCCACUUGCUUAGUCGGAAGUGUUUCAACCCAAUAGCAUGGGGUUACUUGGGCUUCAACAUAUGAUUUAUCUGGACGAGGCACAUCUUGGUAGAUGGUGGUGGAGGUUUCUCAAUGAAUCUCAACGCCUCUGAAUCUCAAUCUUCAAGGAGAAAGAAGGGUUGGUUGUCGGGUAACAUUUUUCUACUUGGGGUUUAUGGGCAGCUGGGUCUAACCUUAGGAGGGCAGUUUCUUAAAGGUUUCUAAAGAAGGUUAGGUGGUGGGUGAUGGGAAGUCUACCUUAUUCUGGCUGGACUUAUGGAGCGGCACAACUAGCAACCCGUUUCGCCAACCAGAGGUCCGAUGACCCAACCCCUUCCUUCUACGCUGUGCUGGGCGGUCCCCAAGACUUACUCUGAAUGGCAGGUUUCUCAAUGCGGGAUGUAACUGAUAGGAUGGGUUGGACGGCCUCUUCUCCUUCAGCUCUAUGAGAGAUGGCAGGAUAACGAGCGAAUCUAUCCGCUUGGGAUGGGCAGCUUAGCCAGCUCCAACAAAUGAUGGACCAAGUGAGGGAAGGCUUUCUACCUCGGGCCCUCUCCAGCCUGGGGUGGGUUUAUUACACGAACAGAAAAGGGAUGAAUCCAAGCAAGCAGGAUACAAACCUUGGAAUCCUGAGACUACUCGACGGGCAGGUGCAAUGGAAAGCGAAAGCGGCUCUGCUUAGAAAAAAGCAUUUCCCUUUAUCCUACUUCGGAAAUAGAAGAAUCCAAAGUCGGUUAAGGUGCUCUUACACCAACUGACAGAGAAAUAAAGGCAUUGCCACUUAGUAACAUGACUCCUUUACGUACGGAAUUCCCUACAAGACUCCCAAGAAUGGCAGCAAUACUUACGGAAUAGCAAUAGCAAGCAAUAAACAAGAAAUAAUAAAGAACAUAAAAAGAAGGCUGGACUGGACUGACUCGUUCUAGCGGAUAUGUCUUUGUCGCAGCCAGCGGAAGAUGUAUUCCUUAUAUUAGACUAUGACUAUCGGGAUUGUUACCAUCCUAUGAGAUUGGACGAUAGGGAUUUGUCCCAGCACUCUCACAGGCCAACUCGGAAAAAGCUUUAAGAUAGGCAACGUAGCGGGCAGCCUCAAACGAGAAACCAGUCCAAUCUAUUACAUACGAUCACUGAUCGAAUCGGGAAUCGGGGCCUUCUCAUACUCCUCCAAGUCAGCAACGGGCACAUAGGGUCAAAGUUUCAUAGUCAUUAGUUGGAACCCCCUUCUCUGUACACACCUAUAUGGCAGACUGCAAGCACAGAAGCUAAGGGAACGAUUGAUUUUAGGGGGUUGAUCAGAUUGCCCGAGUUGCCAGAGGUUAAGAAGCUGCUUUCUUUCAUUCGACAAUAGGAAGCAUCGCUUCUUUCAUUCGACAAUAGGAAGCAUCGCUUCUUUCAUUCGACAAUAGGAAGCAUCGGGGAGGAUGGAACGGAACUCUACUUUACAUAAGCUAUUUAGAGCGAUCCCCGUAGAUUAGAUACAACAGGGAAAUUGCAAGGAAAGAGCUGUACUUUGUUUGCUACAGACAUACGAGCUUGACUUUACUACAGACAUACGAGCUUGACUUGACUACAGACAUACCAGGGAGACUCUUACUUACUACUAGCUACUCUUACUUACUACUAGCUGUAUGGAUACCGUAGGCCUCACAUUCUAUUAGGGCAGGUCUAAAGUCACUCUAAAGAAAGGAGAGGAAGGGACCGAUACUACAAUAAUAAAUGGACUGCUCGGCGCAUUGAUUGUUUAUCCCUGGGAAUCCAAGAGAGUAACAAAAGAAAUCAAGUCUAUGAUAAGAACAAGAUUUUGGUAGAUACUAAACCUCUAAGGAUGUAUAAAUCGGAUUGGUAUUCAAAGGGAUGCUAGUGAGUAAGAAAAAGUCGUAUUUAUAUAGACCAAUAGAUUAAGUGGGGACUGUGUGAUGAGAGCUUUAAAGAAAGCCAGUCGUGGUAGAUAGGUAGGAUUGAACCCUUUUCUUUCGUUAGCGAAUUUCCUUCUUCGAUUUGUUCUUGCCAUUGAGAAUAUAAAACAAGUGUUUGAAACCAUUAAGUCAGAGUACUUCACACUUUUCUUCAUUCCAGCUUGAGUCCUCUUUUCCUUUUCCUGUUAACGUUUCCAGUAGCUCGGUUCAAGAAGUAUGGAAAGAUUUCUUUCUGUGAGGUCAUAUCAUAUAUGAAUUGGAAUAAGCAUAAAGAAGAAAAGCACCUUACUGGAUCUAGCACUUAUUACUUGCUUGCUCACCAGGACAGGGUCAUUCGCGGGUGCGUUUUUGGGCUUACAGGAUUAGUUGCUUCAAAUGGAACUACAGGCUAUCCUUUUCCUUACUAAUACAGCGGGACUCCAGAUUCUCACUUGCUUGCUGGGCACAGGUAACUUCCUGACUUUGGAUUCUUUCUGGAGUAAGGGGAGUCUGCCGCUCAUACAACCAAUUGGGCUAGAUCGAGCAUGCGACGCGAGCGGGUCCUCUUCACCAUUUGGCUUUUAUAGCGGGGCCUUCUACCCGAUAUGAGAUAGGUUGCUGCUAUAGUAGGAAUUCCAAACUGUUACCACUCGUCAUGCCUCCAUCGUCUUAUAGUACUUGCUAACAAAGAACAUGAACAUUUGCUUUAUGGAUACAUUUUCUUCCCAUCUUCCAAGAAAAUCAAAGCCGCUUUUGGGUACAUUGAUCCAAAAGUAUCUCACGACGAUUUAUAGCGAGCGAUACCUUAACUUACAAGCCGGCUUAAAGGUAGGUGCCUUCUCAGCUACUUAUGUAAUCUCAUCCUAUGUUAUGUAUGAGGUGAUUGAUCCAUAUGGUUCUAUCCCAAGGUUCAACAAGUUAUUAGCUAUGAUAGGGUCUUUUAGAGUGGGAAAGCGUUUUUUGCCUCUCUCAUAGCACCACACGAGUACUCCUAUUCUGUCCAGGCAGCAGAACAACGUGAGAUCAAAGGUAAGCAGGAAGAACGGCGGAGCCAGAAACCUACCCGCUUCUUUUCUGCUAUAGGAAAGCCUCCAUCAUCAUAUUAUUCAUUCAUGUUCGAUUCUUCAAGACGUUAUUUUAUUGGGUCUUGCAAUGGUGGCUCUGGGAGCAUAUCGAUGUUGGGCGUCCUCGUCGAGCAGAGGUUGAUCAUCGCGUCUUUCCGCGUUAAGACUAUGACUUUUGGAGACUAGGACUCGGGUUGAGUCGAAGUUGAUUAAGAGCUUUACCCACGGAGCAGUUAAGUGAGAAUUGGGAGCAUACCCCACAGGGCAGAAGUGGAUUGAAUGGGACAGUAAUUAAACAAACAAGCAAUGUCGAUCACAUCAUCGGUUAUGAGUCAAAGGACUAUCAUCGUCCUGAAAGAGCCAUUUGAUUAAAGAGGUCAGAGAAGUUAAGCGACACAAUAGUGGAUCAGAGAAGAUAAGUAGGGUCUGGUCUGUUCUUCCCCCUCAUCUGGAUGUUCAAAUCGGGAUUUCAUAAACCAACAGCCAUAUCCACUUGAACCCCAAUCCAACUACCGAAGCUUUUGGUGCUGCUAGAAAGCGUUCAACCGGCCAGCCAGAUCUAUUGAAUCAACAAGUGGACUCAAUCUCGCGAUCUUAAUCCAUCUAUCACGACCACCCCCAAUGAAACAUCCUGACUAUCCACGGUAAUACUAACUAUCCAUGGUGUAAUAUCCUUACCCCUUUAGAGAAGAACGACUCUCUACUAAAUGGCAUGAUGCCCAUAAAGCGCCCGCCGGUGGCUACUUAUGCCCGGACGUACUGCCCAGCCCAUAGAAAUCCAAGAGAUUACAUAUAUAAUAGAAUAGAACCGAACGAUUGAAGCGUAGAAUAUAACUGAACGAUUGAAGCGGGAAAGCUGGAAAUCCCCUAGAUCUUAUUUCUAUAAUAGAACCCGGUUAAAGCGCUGUUAUUCAAAAGUUGAUGAUUGCUGUGCUGCUUCACUUCAGUCUUUAGCAUCCUUUCCACUAUACGGAUUAGUCCUAACUGCGCUUAUGUAGCAUCUCUGAGAAAACAACCAAAUGUCUUGCUCUUGCCAUGCCAUUGUGAAUGUGCAGUUCCUUCUGCCCAUCCAGAAACCUAUAAAAGAGUGAAAGUUGAUAAUCCAUGCGUUAAGCCUUAAGUCCCAGUCAUGAAGAGGUAGGGUCGGAAAGAGAGUAGUCAAUUCCUUCCUAUAAAGACCCUAUUUCUGUAACAACUUGUAUUCGAUGCUAUUAUAUGUAACUUCACACAAACAACCUAUUUGAAAACAACUUAUUUCCAUCAAGCAAGGAAAGAAAAUGGGGGCAACACUGCCAUUUCCGCGGAUCACAGUACCUAGCAAUAUUCCUAUUCCUAACUGCUCCCCUUUUAGCGUAGGAACAAAAUGGGGUAAUUCCUUUUCGAUAGCACAAGUAUAGGUCUGGUGGGCAUAACUAAUACCUGCCAUCCAUACUCGGAUAAAGGAAAGGGAUCGGAAGGGCCUAUUUAUUCGUUGUCCGUGGGUAUCUUCUACUCCCCGAAAUAAGUUAGGACAGCAAAAUCCCCUCUCUCUCUCUUUAAGGCACCCUGCGGAUUAGUACUUGCUUGAGGUGGAUGCGGCUAGGACUUUUGGACAAAAGAUCAAGCAGGAUAUCUAAACCUUUGCGACGCCAUCUCUUAUGAAAGAGGUUAUUGGGGGAAUAUGAGAUGAGAAGUAGAAAGCGCCUAAGAUAGGAAAUGCUCUUGAAAGAUUCAUCCUACUCGUGUGCGUGGAUAGCUGAACUGUUCGAAGCCUUGUCCC